AAGAAACACGUCAAAUUGGAAAAAAAAAUUGAAUGUCCAUGAAACGUUAUUUUCAGCCCACUGUGCGGCGCGGCGUCGUCGGCGAGGCCGCGUCAUCCAUCCAUCACGUAGCUCAUCAUCCACUAUUAAUAGAACUUGCUAGUGUAUACUAGUGUUUCAUUCUUGGAAUUCCGCUCACAGUAAACAAUAUCGUCAUUCUCGCAAAAAUGAACCCAAGGUAUUAUGAUCCUUUUCCGAUAUAUUCAUUCAUCCGGUUAAUAGAACAGAAACUCAACGUGAACGUUUGAUAACCUAUUUAUCGGGAGGUCGUGUUUGUAAACAUAGCACACGAUUUUACUCACGCUCAAACUGUUUUAUAUCUAGAGGUCAUAAUUUUUUAAACAUCGACGUGAUAUGGAGAUGAUUAUUAUGAAAUAACAGCUUGAUGGGUAAAUGUUAUUAUAACAAUGAUAGCAAAACAUUUUAACAAUGAAGUAUAAUAAAGACGUUUUCAAUUGUCAGUUUCUUAUUCAUAGCUGUCGAACAAAGUAAAUAGUGGCUAUAUUAUAGUUAAAUACGGUAUGUGCGUGUGCAGGGUACAAUGAUUGUAAACAGUAAACACGGGGCAUCGUUCGCGGCAAACAGCUCCGAGAAUAUUCCGCUGGACUCCGCUCUGACACAAACACAUCACACACUACACCGGAAAUACCCACCCGGUUGCACCACGUUCCAAAUACAAACGCAGCCAAUUCCUAACAAUAUUUGGACAAAAACUGGUCAUAUGAUGCUAAGUAUGAUAAUACAACAUUUGAUAUUGUUAUUAACGGAUUUAAAAUUGUUGAAGCAAGUUUUGAGAUAGAUAUCAUUAACGUUUUUACACAUUAGUAGGGGUAGGGGCAGCUUUGAUAUGCAUGUAAUGUAACAAUAGGGGCAAUUAAUAUAAUAAAUAACAUUUGCUGGAAUUUUUACUGUGAAUGCGGGCUCGUGUUUGUUCGGGUGAGGGAUAAAAUGAAAGUGUUUUACUGCUAACAGUGUUACUGUUAUUAAUACACCAUCAUGUAAACCUAAGUUUAAGUAAAUGCAUACACAAAUUGUAUUAAUUUCUAAUGUAAACGGUGCCAAAGUCAACUACCACGUGCUUUUGAUGUGAAUAAGUUACACUGAACAAAAAGAUGCGGUGAUUGGGCAUUUUAUAUCAAAUUGUACCUGGAACUCGUAAGACGUUAGUUUAAUUGUUUGUUUUCCUUAGAUGAGCCUCAAUAUCCAAGUUUGGCGAGGAGUUUUUGCUACGGUGUCAGUAACCGGCGAGGGCACGGUCACUCACCGGCAUGGCUCUGGCGGCGAGGCGAGUUGUUCCAAGGUGCGGGGUGCGCGGCGGCGGCGCGGGCGGCGCGACGUCCGGCGCCUCCUGCUCAAAGACGUAAAUAGGUUCAAUGACCCCGACCUUGACGGCGCCGACGCAAACUGUAUUGUCUUCGCUAUACAUAUUUAAACAAUAAUUACAUAACACAACACACGAUAACAUAUUUUUAGUGAAGCAGGCUGCUAUUGAGUGAUACUUCAUGCGUACUACAAUUUAUCUUAUCAAAAUUUUAAAUAAUCAAUAAUAUUUAAACUAUUCUAAACAAUCAUUAAUACAAAGUAUCUAAUGUUUUGUACAUUGAAUACUUAAAAAAAACAAUUAAGCCCAUUCCGUAACAUAACAUUUAAAAUGAUAAAGAAUAUUAAUUCUCAUAUUAAUUAACGAGCGUGGCGCUAAUUCAAAUAUUUCUCUUGUACUAGUCAAUUCCAAUAUAAUGUGUCAAAGGUUGGGUUGGGCGGCGGUGGCGUCGGCGUCUAUUGAAACAAUAGCACGUGGGAACUCUGCGAUGCCUACGCGGUUCCCACGCGCGAGCACCCGAGCCGCGCCGCAUUGGAUUCUUGUCCGCUAGCCGCGGCCCGGAAGAGGCGCGUGCUAUUAUUUUUUACCACUAGUAACACUUUCAUACAAGGAAAUGUCAUGAAUAAAUUGUUACAACAUGCUGCCUUUGAUGCUCUAAAAUUCUCACGACAAAAUAAAUUUGUCAUGUCAUUUCUCUA
This is a long non-coding RNA of Trichoplusia ni (cabbage looper), 2058 nucleotides long. RefSeq lists it as uncharacterized. The transcript is spliced from 2 exons. Lineage: Eukaryota; Metazoa; Arthropoda; Insecta; Lepidoptera; Noctuidae. The record is from RefSeq and is a predicted model, not a curated record.